CAGGACGAUUGCCUGCAAGACAGGGCCUGGAGGAGGCCAGGGAACCCAAGGCCACAGAAAUGCCCAGGGAUGAGUCCCAGCUGGAGAUGCCUUGGCUAAGCUGACUGUGCACUUCCAGGGCUCACAGGGUGUCUUCCUGGUACUACACAUGAAGAUGUCCCGCUCUCCCCUGCUCAAGGAGAGAGUGCCUGACCUGAGCUGGGCCCAUCAGAUCCAGUACUUACCUGGAAUACGAAAAAGAUGGAGAGAGUGACCAAAGAUUACAAAAAUCUCUGAAGCUUAUCUACUUGAGAGAGAGUCCCUGAAGAUACUGGCCUCUCAUUCCUGCUAUGUAUAUCCAAUGUGACUGAACUCUGAAUAAAAUAUACAAGUUAU
RNAcentral lists this long non-coding RNA (375 nucleotides) under Homo sapiens (human). Its description in RNAcentral is "HSALNT0014193". Lineage: Eukaryota; Metazoa; Chordata; Mammalia; Primates; Hominidae. The record is from RNAcentral.